AAUAUUGCGCAAUGGGGGGAACCCUGACGCAGCGACGUCGCGUGGGCGAAGAAGGUCUUCGGAUCGUACAGCUCUGUCUUUGGGGACGAAAGAAAUGACGGUACCCAAUGAGGAAGCCCCGGCUAACUACGUGCCAGCAGCCGCGGUAACACGUAGGGGGCAAGCGUUGUCCGGAAUUAUUGGGCGUAAAGCGCGCGCAGGCGGUCUCUUAAGUCUGAUGUGAAAGCCCACGGCUCAACCGUGGAGGGUCAUUGGAAACUGGGGGACUUGAGUGUAGGAGAGGAAAGUGGAAUUCCACGUGUAGCGGUGAAAUGCGUAGAGAUGUGGAGGAACACCAGUGGCGAGGGCGACUUUCUGGCCUACAACUGACGCUGAGGCGCGAAAGCGUGGGGAGCAAACA
RNAcentral lists this ribosomal RNA (400 nucleotides) under uncultured bacterium. RNAcentral's name for it is "partial 16S ribosomal RNA". It matches the Rfam family "Bacterial small subunit ribosomal RNA", at positions 360 to 774 of the family's 1533-position model. The record is from RNAcentral.